AUUGAACGCUGGCGGCAUGCUUUACACAUGCAAGUCGGACGGCAGCACAGAGAAGCUUGCUUCUUGGGUGGCGAGUGGCGAACGGGUGAGUAAUAUAUCGGAACGUACCGAGUAAUGGGGGAUAACUAAUCGAAAGAUUAGCUAAUACCGCAUAUUCUCUGAGGAGGAAAGCAGGGGACCUUCGGGCCUUGCGUUAUUCGAGCGACCGAUAUCUGAUUAGCUAGUUGGUGGGGUAAAGGCCUACCAAGGCGACGAUCAGUAGCGGGUCUGAGAGGAUGAUCCGCCACACUGGGACUGAGACACGGCCCAGACUCCUACGGGAGGCAGCAGUGGGGAAUUUUGGACAAUGGGCGCAAGCCUGAUCCAGCCAUGCCGCGUGUCUGAAGAAGGCCUUCGGGUUGUAAAGGACUUUUGUCAGGGAAGAAAAGGCUGUUGCUAAUACCGACAGCUGAUGACGGUACCUGAAGAAUAAGCACCGGCUAACUACGUG
This 490-nucleotide ribosomal RNA is filed under the name uncultured bacterium. Its description in RNAcentral is "partial 16S ribosomal RNA". It matches the Rfam family "Bacterial small subunit ribosomal RNA", at positions 30 to 507 of the family's 1533-position model. The record is from RNAcentral.